CCUUGGUUAAUGCACGUGGUAAUAUUGACAGGGAUAACUAUUUGGGGUACCCAGAUGUUCCCGCUGUUCUACCCAGCUGGUGCAGAUAACUGGCUUCCUAGAUUGUGAGGCACACGUUCUUAAUCGAAGGAUGAUGAAAACUAAUGAGCAAAUGACAGCUACAAGUUCUGCCUCAUUCAUUCAGAGUAUUCAAUUGUUUUAGUUUUAAGAAAUUUUUCAUAAUACAAAAAUUUUUAUCACAUCAUCAGUUAUUUCACUAGCAGGACAUUAUACUCAUUGAUUUUUUUAUUGUAGGACUUUUCAGUAACUACAAUUGCUUCAUUAUGGGAGUUAGAAAAUACUAGACUCAUUCAACUUAAUUAUAAGGAGAAAGUAUUCCCUAAUCUGACCACUUAAAUAAAAAAAAAACUGAUUGACAUGCCAGGAAGCCUUUAGUGGAAGUGAUUCAUGAAAAUUAAUAGGUAUCAACCAUUGUCUGUCUCUUUUUGAAAAAAAAAAAAAUUCAUACCUUUGUUAAGGAUUCUUUUGCUCAAUUCAGAUGGAAAUUGGAAAAAGGCAAAGGGCCACUCCCUUAGUUCUAGCGCUCCAACAUCCAGGUGCCAGUGACUCUCUGCUCUUGAUGUUGACGCUCCAGGCUUUGAGUGCCAGUGACUCUUAGCUUUUAGUGUUAUGGCUCUGAGCUUCGGGUGCCAGUAGCUCUCAGCAGUUAGUGUGAUAACUCUGAGCUUCGAGUGCCUGUGGCUCUCGUAUCUCAGAGUAAACCUGUUCCCUGAGUGCCCCUGCUUCCCAACAGCUGGCAUUAACAGCUCUUCUAGCUGCUGCUGGAAACUCCUCAGCAGCCAGAGCUAGCAGCUCUCCCAGUGUGGGGCUAGCGGCUCCCUACAGUCUCCCAUGGCUCUCUGCUCUCAGCCUUUGUCUGGAGCUCGUCAGCAGUGAUCUGCCUGUGAGGCGUUCUCAAGGCUAGCAGCCCUGGUUACCAGCUCUUACUGUGACCAGCUCAGCCCACUAUAACCCAAGAUAGAAAUCAUCUAAAUAAGUCUUUAUUGGGGCUUAUGCUGCAGCACAGCAGGCAGAGUGGUGAAUGGAAGUCCCAGACUGUCCUGAUAAGACUGAGAAAAGUGCUGCUUAUGUAGCAAAAAAAAAAAAAAAAAAACGAUGCCCACAUGUCCACAGUCUCCUGCCUACUAACCUAACCAGACUUUCUUCAGUCCUGCCAGUCUGCAUAGUUGUACUGGCCCAGCUGUCAUGGGGGAGUGGUGCUCCUCAAGGACCAGAGUGAGGACAUCUGAAGAGUAGGCAGAGAUGUCUGGGGUGGUUCAAGGAUGUCCAAGGCUGCCCCAACCAGAGCAGUCUCCUGGAGCCAUGGAGGCCUCUGGAGCAGCCGUCGCUAUCGAGACAGCUCUGUUGGACUGUCAGAGAAGCAGCCACCUGAUUGACAGUUCCUGCAGUUUCCAUGGUAACCAUAACAGCUGCAUGACAGCUGCAGGAGUGCAGAAGUAGCAGCAGCAGCAGGUGGGUUGGGC
Molecule: long non-coding RNA, 1523 nt
Filed under: Marmota monax (woodchuck)
Lineage: Eukaryota; Metazoa; Chordata; Mammalia; Rodentia; Sciuridae
Source: RNAcentral